CUCUCUCUCUUUGCGGCUACUGGUUUUACUACAGCUUCUCCUCACCCAACGCCUAUUAUGCUUUCCAUUAAUUAGUCUAUUUUGUGACUCUUAUUUCUUUUUUUAGUGCUGUCUAUGCUUAUUAAUUUUUUCUAGUGCUGUCUGUGGAAAUGACGAGGAUGAGAGGGAUUGUGGUGAUGUUCAGUAACUAUUCACCCAAUUAUUUCUUUUUUUAGUGCUGUUUGUGCUGUGUAUUAGAUCAUUCCUUCAUGUAUUUUCCCAGAUGCUUUUCUUGUAUAUGGGUAGGGAAGAAGUUGACUGUGACUCUAGAGUCUAGAUGCAUCCAACUUUGGAUGUUAUUUGCAGCUUAGGGAUUGACUAUCAGUAGGGAGCUUGAGAAUAUACAUCUUAUAGUUUGUUGGAGCUUAUUCUGAAUUCUAUUUUGCAAUUCAAAAUGUGGGCUUAUUUUGUGAAGAGUAUCUAGCUUUGUUCUCUCUGUGGUAGUUAAACCUUUGCUGCUUACACUAGUAGCUGAGCAUUUUUCCUCAUGCUAAAUAUGGCAAAUUCACAUUGUACCACGAGUGAUACAAUGUCAUAACUCUAUAAUUGGCAUAUGCAUGAAGUACUAAAAAACUAUGAGAGUUGCUGUGUACUAUUUGUAUGUCAAUAAUGUCAUAACUCUAUAGACUAUAAUUGAUCCACAUUCUUUCGAAAUUCCUUUGGGAUUGUAAAAUUAUUGCUGUUUCAUAUCAAUGUUUGUUAACUGGUAUUUUUGCGCUUAGAUUUUGCUUCUGAUGGAAAUUCUACUUAAUAUGGUAUCAAUUUAUUUUCAUAUAGAUCUAGGAUAGCAUUCUGUACUUCAUAUUGAAGGUUAAUUUUGUUUAGCUGAAUAAAAUGUUACGUUAAUACCUUGUGGUUUGAUUUGUACUCCGAUUAUUCUAAGCUUUGGAAUGGAAACCUAGUUUAUUAGGUAAAGUGCUGCAUGUCAUCCAUGCUCAUUGAUGUUGAUUUUAAUGAAAAUUUUUAAAAUAAAAUUCGUCCUAACCUCAUAUUCCACACUUGAGGCCUGCUGAAUACAAGAGGUCUAGAUUAUCUAGGAACAUGAGAACUGUGAACCGUGCUUAAGGUGGAGUAUUAUCAGGCAGUGCUGUGCGGAAAAGAUUUGUAGGAUUAUCAGAGCAUUAUUGGUGGAAGAGCAAAAGAUUGUGAAGAAGGUGCUGAAGAUUCAGAAAGCCAAGGAAAAGCAAGCUGGCAAGAGCUGAAGAUAUAGCCUGAGUCAGGUGUAGUUUUGGAUACAGUGCU
This is a long non-coding RNA of Ipomoea nil (Japanese morning glory), 1281 nucleotides long. RefSeq lists it as uncharacterized. Lineage: Eukaryota; Viridiplantae; Streptophyta; Magnoliopsida; Solanales; Convolvulaceae. The transcript has 2 exons. The record is from RefSeq and is a predicted model, not a curated record.